Danio rerio (zebrafish) is the source of this 72-nucleotide non-coding RNA. The record is from Rfam. Lineage: Eukaryota; Metazoa; Chordata; Actinopteri; Cypriniformes; Danionidae.
GGCUCGUUGGUCAAGGGCUAUGAUUCUUGCUUUGGGUGCGAGAGGUCCUGGGUUCAAAUCCCAGAUGAACCC